GGUGGACAUCACCGCGUCCCCCACGCCCACGCGCGGCCACCUUCCUGCCCCAGGCCAGCCUCGCGGUGUCGGCCUUCCGCUCCCUCUGGCGGAGGCGGGCGGCCAGGCAGCGUUCGGAGCGAGACUGGAGACCCGGAACUUCAAGCUAAGCCACAGAGAUAGAGAUUUAAGUAAAGGACCCCCAAUCACCGGGCUGCCACGUGCCCAGCUCUAGGUCCCCUGCAGCCUCCAUCCCGGGUCAUCCAGGAUGUCCCCUCCACCCCCACUCCCAGCCCAGGAAGGAAAGGGACUCCUGGCGUUUGGGCGCCACCAAGGAAGCGGCCAAGCACCUGUGGGAACACUUGGAAUGGACAAGAGGAGUUCUCUGUCAUCUACGACACAACCAGUCGUCCACUGCUGGCUUCUUUAUCCAGAAGUUGUGCCAAGAUUUUUGCUUCCUUGGAGCCCCAACAGGCCUCAGUGCGUAGACAGGCCAGUGCCUGGACACAUCAGGUCUGUGGAGGCUCGAGGGCGAAAAAGUCUGAGUAUGUUUCAGAGACCUGAUUUUCUCUGCCAUCAAGAGAGAAGGAAAAAAUCUUCACUGACUGUCUUGACAAGUAAAAAUGCAGGUGGCUUUGGGAAAAGAUUUUUUUUAAAGCAGUAUCUGCGGAUUGAAACCGUAAACUCUUCUGCCCCUGGCAUGCUGUGGAUCUCCUGAAAAUGACUUUGCUCCACUAGGAGAGUGAAGCACAGCAGCUCUCAGGGAGAAAAAGCCCUGUGGUGAAGGCCUCCGAAGGAGGCCUGUUUGAAGAAUCUCUGGACCUCAUUGAUUUGGGGGCAUCCUGAAGGGUGAGCUAGUCUGAGUGCAGUCUUAUUUUUUAAAGAAUCUCUUGGGGCGCCUGGGUGGGUCAGUCAGUGAAGCGUCCGACUUCGGCUCAGGUCAUGAUCUCACCGUUCGUGGGUUUGAGCCCCACGUCGGGCUCUGUGCUGACAGCUCGGAGCCUGGAGCCUGCUUCAGAUUCUGUGUCUCCCUCCCUCUCUGAUCCUCCCCUGCUCAUGCUCUGUCUGUCUGUCUCUCUCAAAAAAUAAACAUUAAAAAAAAAUUUUUUUAAUCUCUUGAGACAGACUUCCACUUCUGGGCAGAAGCUAAGAAACUUCUGUGCCAGGAGAUUUUUAGUGUUUAUCGGCAGUACUUUGGAAGUGUGAAAAUAUUUCAUUAUCAAAACACCCCUUGAAAUGUAGCACACUGCUCUGGUCUCCAAUAUGUGGUCCCAAGCUUUGUUAAUUGUGGAGUUAACCUGGGAGAGAAUGACAUCCUGCCAUGUGGCUCCUCCCGGAAAGAGCCCCCUUUGCUGUGGACUUUAGAAGAUUUCUGCAUUCGUCAGCUGAGUGGUCUUGGGACACUUGCUCACCUUCUUGGACUUGUUUCUCUGUGGAUAGCCCACCUCCCAGAGACUUCUCAGCGUUCAGGCACCCCUGGACAAUGUAGGGCAUUGCACAAGGUUAGUUCUUAUGUUGUUGUCUCCAUCCUCUCUCCUAGGGUCCCAUUCUUUUUGUACCCCCUGGAGCAAGAGUCAUUCCCCUGCUGAGAGUUGCUUUCGUUUUAGCAGCCCUCCAAUCCUCCACGACCCCCGCCCCACCCAGUGCCUCAUCCCCUACAGAACACCCAAGUGAAAACUAAAUGCCUCCUGGCGCCAGAAGGAAGUUCUCAUGUAAUAGAUACUUUGUGGUGUCAGAGAGCAGGGAUUCUGUGCACUUUGUCCACCAGACCCUUAAUCAGCUCUUCUGUAAAAGCGGGGCCUGGCUUAUUUACAUGCAAACUUUGUUUCUCCAGCCCCAAGCCCCUCUGACCUCCAGUUCUAAAAUGAGCUCUCAUAGAUGAUCAGGAAACAGGGAAGUGUUUUGGGAAAUGUGCCCACUUUUUCUUGAUUUUUCCCCCGUUUGGCUUAUCUGUGCGGCUCUGCCCAAUUAGCAAGGAAAGUGAGCCAAUUAACUUGCAGCGGGGGAGAAAAAUCCACUCUGUUACAUUCCUCUUAAAGUCUGAUUCUCAAGCAGAGCUCCUUGAGGAUGUUGCAAACAUCCUACCUAAGGAACCCUCAUGCCUGGUUACAUCGCCCUGCUCCCAUUCCUUCUUAGACUGCCACAUUCUGGCAGCUUCCUUUAGGGAAGAGAGGGGCAGAAUUAAAAAACAAACACAACAACAAAAAAAAACAACGAAAGACUUAACUGUAAACUCAAUGAAGGCAGAGACUGUGUCUUGUUCAUCUGGGUAUCCUCAGUGGCUAGCAGCUUAAGAAGGCACUGCCGAAAUAUGUGGUGAUUGAAAACAUUCACAAACACAUGAGCACAAUCCAGCCUUCACCCAUAAUUAAUGGAAGGUGCACACACAACCCGUAAUUUGCCCUUCAUUUAACCAACUCGGUUUAUUCCUAUGUACUCUACCCUACUAUCAAUACUUACAGAGACCCAAUUACAUUUCUCACUAACUGAAUGGACUUUUAAGAGUUAUUUCCUGUUUUCAAAUGUAGCUUAUAUAUCCGUCUACUUUUCAUGUGAUAUACUUGCGACAGUCCCAGGGUUCAUUCCUACUAGCAGAAGGAUUACAUUUAUUAUGAACAUCCCAGCAGCAAGAUCUCUUCUUAUAAAAAUGAACUCUAGCUUUAAAUACCAUUUGUAACUUUUUAUUCCUGAUUGAAAAAAAAAAUCAGAAUUUUUAUAAAGUUGCAGAGGAUCACAGACCUACAAAACCUCAGAUUACUCUUUUUCUCAUAGAAUGAGGAGAGAAUGGGACCCCUGAAAGUUUCAUGGGUUAGCAGAGAAGGAGGACUCAGAAAGACAGGAAUCUGUGAGGUGAGAGGAAAACCAAAAGUGAGUAGUGUCAUUGAAAACAG
Neofelis nebulosa (Clouded leopard) is the source of this 2870-nucleotide long non-coding RNA. RefSeq lists it as uncharacterized. The record is from RefSeq and is a predicted model, not a curated record. The transcript has 3 exons. NCBI's taxonomy places the organism in Eukaryota, Metazoa, Chordata, Mammalia, Carnivora, Felidae.